UUUGGAAAAAUUGAAUGUAAUACUUUUUUUUUUUAAAAUAAAAAUAGCGAGCAAACGUGCAGGCGGUUCACCUGAUGACAAGUGAUUACCGCCGCCCAUGAACAUUUGCAGCACCAGAUGAACCGCCGUAGCGUUGCCGGCCUUUCAGGAGUUUCUUGG
Maniola jurtina (meadow brown) is the source of this 159-nucleotide long non-coding RNA. RefSeq lists it as uncharacterized. Lineage: Eukaryota; Metazoa; Arthropoda; Insecta; Lepidoptera; Nymphalidae. The record is from RefSeq and is a predicted model, not a curated record. The transcript is spliced from 3 exons.